UACAGGUUUUGGAGCAAAGGAAUAGUC
RNAcentral lists this non-coding RNA (27 nucleotides) under Rattus norvegicus (Norway rat). The record is from RNAcentral. Lineage: Eukaryota; Metazoa; Chordata; Mammalia; Rodentia; Muridae.